AGUUUGACCUGGCUCAGGACGAACGCUGGCGGCGUGCCUAAUACAUGCAAGUUGAGCGCUGAAGGUUGGUACUUGUACCAACUGGAUGAGCAGCGAACGGGUGAGUAACGCGUGGGGAAUCUGCCUUUGAGCGGGGGACAACAUUUGGAAACGAAUGCUAAUACCGCAUAAAAACUUUAAACACAAGUUUUAAGUUUGAAAGAUGCAAUUGCAUCACUCAAAGAUGAUCCCGCGUUGUAUUAGCUAGUUGGUGAGGUAAAGGCUCACCAAGGCGAUGAUACAUAGCCGACCUGAGAGGG
RNAcentral lists this ribosomal RNA (299 nucleotides) under Lactococcus lactis subsp. lactis. Its description in RNAcentral is "partial 16S ribosomal RNA". It matches the Rfam family "Bacterial small subunit ribosomal RNA", at positions 10 to 300 of the family's 1533-position model. The record is from RNAcentral. Lineage: Bacteria; Bacillati; Bacillota; Bacilli; Lactobacillales; Streptococcaceae.